RNAcentral lists this ribosomal RNA (253 nucleotides) under uncultured bacterium. RNAcentral describes it as "partial 16S ribosomal RNA". It matches the Rfam family "Bacterial small subunit ribosomal RNA", at positions 524 to 776 of the family's 1533-position model. The record is from RNAcentral.
UACAGAGGUCUCGAGCGUUGUUCGGAUUCAUUGGGCGUAAAGGGCGCGUAGGCGGCGGGGUAAGUCUGGUGUGAAAUCUCGGAGCUCAACUCCGAAAUUGCACUGGAUACUGCUCUGCUAGAGGGCUGGAGAGGAGAUCGGAAUUCACGGUGUAGCAGUGAAAUGCGUAGAUAUCGUGAGGAAGACCAGUGGCGAAGGCGGAUCUCUGGACAGCUCCUGACGCUGAGGCACGAAGGUCAGGGGAGCAAACGGG